Molecule: ribosomal RNA, 492 nt
Filed under: uncultured bacterium
Lineage: Bacteria
Description: partial 16S ribosomal RNA
Rfam family: Bacterial small subunit ribosomal RNA
Source: RNAcentral
AGCGAACGCUGGCGGUAGGCCUAACACAUGCAAGUCGAACGGCAGCACAGUAAGAGCUUGCUCUUACGGGCGGCGAGUGGCGGACGGGUGAGGUAUACAUCGGAUUAUACUUUUUCGUGGGGGAUAACGUAGGGAAACUUACGCUAACAACGCAUACGACCUACGGGUGAAAGCAGGGGUUCUUUGGACUUUGCGCGAUUGUAUAAGCCGAUGUCGGCUUCGCUAGUUUGCGGGGUAAAGGGCCACCAAGGCGACGAUCCGUAGCUGGUCUGAGGGGAAGAAUCGACACACGGUAACUGAGGCACGGUCCCGACUCCUGCGGUGGGAAGCAGUGGAGAAUAUUGGACAAUGGACCCGAGCCGGAUCCAGCCAUACCGCGUGAGUGAAGAAGGCGUUCGGGUUGGAGAGCCCUGAUGUUGGGAGAGAAAAGCAGCAGUUUAAUACCCCGCGGUUAUGACAGUACCCAAAGAAUAAGCACCGGCUAACUUCGUG